RNAcentral lists this small RNA (631 nucleotides) under Arabidopsis thaliana (thale cress). RNAcentral's name for it is "ATSL172090". Lineage: Eukaryota; Viridiplantae; Streptophyta; Magnoliopsida; Brassicales; Brassicaceae. The record is from RNAcentral.
AAAAUGUUCUAUUUUCACUUAUGAUUACAUGAGUUAAAAACAAAUUUGUUAAUUUUCCUUUUGUUGAAUAAAUCUUAAUUGUUUAUAAAUAUAUAAACAUAUAAAUUAGUAUAUGUAAAUUUGUUUACUUUUUAAGAUUUUCUAUUUUUUUUAGAGAAUAAAAAAGUUAAAUUUUGAAUGACACAUGUAAACAUCUAAUUGUUUGACUUGACACGUGGCACAAUCCUAUGAGUUAGCAACUUUGAAAACCAUACUUUAUAUAAUAAGAUAUAAAAAUCUGGAAAAUUGAGAAGUUUAAGAAUUGUCGUUACCAUUUUUUUUUGCAUGAAAAUAACAAAAACAGCUAUUGUACAUGCUCCAACUCCACCAGCAAAUGUUCCCACUAAAAGUCUAACUAAGUCAAAUUUCUAAGUAGCUAUAGUAGUCGUUCUACGAUGAAAAUCAUAAGGAUUUAAAAAGCAAUUUAAACCUAUAUAUCGAAGCAAGCUAUCCUCUAGUAGUCAACUUUGCAAACUUUGGCAUCAAUAGUAGUUAAAAUCUCUUUCAUUUCAAUAGUUCUUUUUCUUUUAUAAUUAAAAUAAGAAAAAAUGUACUGUGCAAUCUGUGUACAUUAAAUAAGUAUAAGAAUCAA